AUACGGAGGGGGCCAGCGUUGUUCGGAUUUAUUGGGCGUAAAGGGCGCGUAGGCGGUCAAGCAAGUCAGUUGUGAAAUCCCCUGGCUUACCCAGGGACCUGCUUCUGAAACUGCUUGACUUGAGUCCGGGAGAGGAGAGUGGAAUUCCCAGUGUAGCGGUGGAAUGCGUAGAUAUUGGGAGGAACACCAGUGGCGAAGGCGGCUCUCUGGACCGGUACUGACGCUGAGGCGCGAAAGCUAGGGGAGCAAACAGGAUUAGAAACCCCGGUAGUCC
Molecule: ribosomal RNA, 274 nt
Filed under: uncultured bacterium
Lineage: Bacteria
Description: partial 16S ribosomal RNA
Rfam family: Bacterial small subunit ribosomal RNA
Source: RNAcentral